AUGUCAAAUCAUCAUGCCCUAUAUGUCCUGGGCAACACACGUACUACAAUGGCUACUACAGAUAGAAACGAAUCUGUGAAGAAGAGUGAAUCUAAAAAAGUAGUCUCAGUUCGGAUUGAAGGCUGAAAUUCGCCUUCAUGAAGUCGGAAUUGCUAGUAAUUGCAGGUCAGCAUACUGCAGUGAAUACGUUCCCGGCUCUU
This 200-nucleotide ribosomal RNA is filed under the name uncultured prokaryote. RNAcentral's name for it is "partial 16S ribosomal RNA". It matches the Rfam family "Bacterial small subunit ribosomal RNA", at positions 1182 to 1382 of the family's 1533-position model. The record is from RNAcentral.